AUAGCUAAAUUAGGAAAGCACUUCACUUACACCGAAAAGUUAUCCGUGCAAAUCGGAUUAUUCUGACACUCAAAAGCUAGCUAUACGUAAUACACAACAAAUAAAUAUUAGCACCUAUUAAUAUACUAACAAAUGCAAUUAAAACAUUUUUCCCUCCUAGUAUAGGCGACAGAAAAGAGAAUUUAAGCUAUAGAACAAGUACCGCAAGGGAAUGCUGAAAGAGAAAUGAAACAACUCAGUAAAGUAACAUAAAGCAGAAAUGAAAACUCGUACCUUUUGCAUCAUGAUUUAGCAAGAAUUACUAAGCAAAAUGCUUUCUAGUUUAACUCCCCGAAACUUGGUGAGCUACUCCAAGACAGCCUGUCAAUAGGGCAAACACGUCUCUGUUGCAAAAGAGUGGGAGGAUCUUUGAGUAGUGGUGAUAGACCUACCGAACCUAGUUAUAGCUGGUUGCCUAAGAACUAAAUAAAAGUUUAGCCUCUUAUUUUCUAAAUUUAAUUAUGACCUUACAUUAAAAUAAUAACCAUAGAAUGUUAAAGAGUUACUCAUAAGGGGUUCAGCCCUUAUGAGAGAGGAUACAACCUUCUUAGAUGGUUAAUGAACACAUAUAUAAAGUUAGUGUUUUAGUGGGCUUAAAAGCAGCCAUCUAACAAAAAAGCGUUAAAGC
This 667-nucleotide ribosomal RNA is filed under the name Nothobranchius elongatus (elongate nothobranch). Its description in RNAcentral is "partial 16S ribosomal RNA". The stretch from base 252 to 667 matches the Rfam family "Bacterial large subunit ribosomal RNA", at positions 568 to 1141 of the family's 2925-position model. The record is from RNAcentral. Lineage: Eukaryota; Metazoa; Chordata; Actinopteri; Cyprinodontiformes; Nothobranchiidae.